RNAcentral lists this transfer RNA (75 nucleotides) under subsurface metagenome. RNAcentral's name for it is "tRNA-Pro". It matches the Rfam family "tRNA". From Rfam's summary of the family: Transfer RNA (tRNA) molecules are approximately 80 nucleotides in length. The record is from RNAcentral.
CGGAACGUGGCGCAGCCCGGUAGCGCACUUGACUGGGGGUCAAGGGGUCGCGGGUUCAAAUCCCGCCGUUCCGAC